GGCGACGCCACGCUGCUCAUCCACGAGGGCGUCAAGGCCGAGGAGGAGUUCGAGAAGUCAGGCAAGGUCCCCGACCCGGAGUCCACCGACAACGCCGAGUUCAAGAUCGUGCUCACCAUCAUCCGCGACGGCCUCAAGUCCGACCCCAGCAAGUACCGCAAGAUGAAGGAGAGGCUCGUCGGAGUCUCCGAGGAGACCACCACCGGUGUCAAGAGGCUCUACCAGAUGCAGGAGACCGGCGCCCUCCUCUUCCCCGCCAUCAACGUCAACGACUCCGUC
Molecule: unclassified non-coding RNA, 279 nt
Filed under: Hevea brasiliensis (rubber tree)
Lineage: Eukaryota; Viridiplantae; Streptophyta; Magnoliopsida; Malpighiales; Euphorbiaceae
Source: RNAcentral